GGGAUUGUGGCUCAUUGGUAGAGCGCAUGCCUAGCAUGUGUGAGGCCCUGGGUUUGAUCCUCAGCACCA
Molecule: transfer RNA, 69 nt
Filed under: Urocitellus parryii (Arctic ground squirrel)
Lineage: Eukaryota; Metazoa; Chordata; Mammalia; Rodentia; Sciuridae
Also listed under: 2 other names
Description: Spermophilus parryii (Arctic ground squirrel) tRNA
Rfam family: tRNA
About the family: Transfer RNA (tRNA) molecules are approximately 80 nucleotides in length. Their secondary structure includes four short double-helical elements and three loops (D, anti-codon, and T loops).
Source: Rfam by way of RNAcentral